GCCUACAGGGAAGCAGCCCAGCUUCUCCUCUCCUCGUCUCGUCUCUCUACCUCCAUGGCCGCCGCCUCCACCCCAGCCGCACUCCAUCUUCCUGGCCAGAUCCGCCGCCCUCCUCCACAAAUAACUCGUUCUAGCGCCGCCCGCCUCCGACCUCCACUACCGCCCAUAUCUCAUCUCGUCCACAUGCGUCCGCCACGCCCAUCCGUCUCCCGUAUCCCGUCCUGACAUCCUCUACCGCCGUUCUGCCUUCACUAGCGUCCGCCGCCGCAUCCCACCUCCCUCGGCUCACACCCUCCACCGCACUCAAAUAGGGUCGUCCGCUACGCGUUGCCGGCGCCUCGUGCUUCCUACUGCAGACCUGGGGAGUCUGGUCGCAAAUCCAGCAAACCGGCGCCUCCUCUUCCGAUGUGACAGCAGCAGUCUCCUCCUCCUCCUUUUCUCCAAGACCGUGGAACUCUCUGAGAAUUAAGAAACUCUCUUGGUCGCUCGGAACUCUGCACCUCUUCUCUACCGUACAGCUUGUCCAUAGUGAGAGAAACCUUAAGAUCCAAGUGAAGAAAAGAAAGGUACAUGCUUUCUGAACUGAUUUCUCGCAUACAAAUGUCAGUGCUAGUGUUUAUAUUGGCUUGAUAGUGUAUUGUAUUUGACCCAGGCUUACGCUACAACAUGUAGCUUGGUCACUUGCUUUUUCUGUGUUCUUUCUCCUAUUGCAUCAAUGAAUAGCCGGCAAUUUUUCUCGGUUCACUGGUGAUGAGGUCUGGAUAUUUUCUCAGUGUUGGGAUGACCGCCUCACUUCACUACACCAGAUUCCAUUGCAAGGCUGAUGGUAACUCAAUUGGUAAUGGUAUCAUCUCCCAAAGUACCAAAUGUUCAUGGAAUAUACUUUGGACCUGAGAAGGCCACCAUAAUAAACACAUAGCUGUGAUGAAAUCGGGUAUGAAAGACCUCGACGAAAGUGGCAAUAAUGGUGCAAUCAGUAGCCAGAAAGCACAAAAGCGCCUUGUAAACACGGAUUCAUCUCAUGUUAGUUCAGAGGAUGGCCCUAUCGACCAUGAUGUCGGCCAUUGCAACAAUGAAAGCGGCAAUGAUGAGGAGAACAUUGGUGGUAAAGAUAACAAUUGUGGCUUCAAUCCUGAUGGUGUCUCCCGAGGAGGAUCUCACUAGUCACUUGCAUGGCAAUUGAUGAUUAAUGGUCUUUAUGGUAUUUUGGAUAUGUGUGUAGUAGUACCAUAUGCUCCGGGCCAAACUUAGCAGCUUAUCCUUUUGUUGCUUUCACUUUUCUAAAGUGAUGUCCCAGAUCAUUAACCUAGGAGGCUUUCUAUCCAUGUAGUUUGAUAUCACUGCAGUGUUUUGUGCACUGUGAUGGAUAUGAUAAUUAGAGUGUUGGUGGCCAGUAUGUAUGUAGCACUGUUGUAUGCAACUCUUGGUCAAGUCUAUAUAUGGACUCAACUUUAUGUGA
Long non-coding RNA from Triticum aestivum (bread wheat), 1459 nucleotides. RefSeq lists it as uncharacterized. The record is from RefSeq and is a predicted model, not a curated record. NCBI's taxonomy places the organism in Eukaryota, Viridiplantae, Streptophyta, Magnoliopsida, Poales, Poaceae. The transcript is spliced from 5 exons.